GAUGAAGAACGCAGUAAAAUGCGAUAAGUAAUGCGAAUUGCAGAAUUUCCGUGAGUCAUCGAAUCUUUGAACGCACAUUGCGCCCGCCAGCACUCUGGCGGGCAUGCCUGUUCGAGCGUCAUUUCAACCAUCAAGCCCCAGGCUUGCGUUGGAGCCCUGCGGCUGCCGCAGCCUCCUAAAAGCAGUGGCGGGCUCGCUAUCACACCGAGUGCAGUAGAUUACUCUUCGCUCAGGGCGUGCAGCGGGUUCCGGCCGUGAAACCCCCUACUUUUAAAGGUUGACCUCGGAUCAGGUAGGAAUACCCGCUGAACUUAAGCAUAUCAAUAAGCGGAGGA
This 335-nucleotide unclassified non-coding RNA is filed under the name soil metagenome. RNAcentral describes it as "partial contains 5.8S ribosomal RNA, internal transcribed spacer 2, and large subunit ribosomal RNA". The stretch from base 1 to 121 matches the Rfam family "5.8S ribosomal RNA", at positions 35 to 154 of the family's 154-position model. The record is from RNAcentral.